RNAcentral lists this long non-coding RNA (226 nucleotides) under Brachypodium distachyon (stiff brome). RNAcentral's name for it is "long non-coding RNA (BDIS_LNC000718)". Lineage: Eukaryota; Viridiplantae; Streptophyta; Magnoliopsida; Poales; Poaceae. The record is from RNAcentral.
CAACGGCAGUAUAAAGAGUUCUAGAACUAAAAAAGUUUACAAAUAGAUCGAUGGACCACCUAGCGACGGCAACAAGCGCAAGAACGAGCCGAAGGCAGGCCACCGUCCUUGCCCCUCCAUCACCGAAGCCGUGUAGAGGGUGCCCAAAGAGAGCUUGUGGUAGUAGACGUUGGGAUAGCUGUCAAGAUGAGAACCAUAAAUUGAAAGAAGAAGACCGAAAACCACA